Molecule: ribosomal RNA, 468 nt
Filed under: uncultured bacterium
Lineage: Bacteria
Description: partial 16S ribosomal RNA
Rfam family: Bacterial small subunit ribosomal RNA
Source: RNAcentral
GACGAACGCUGGCGGCGUGCUUAACACAUGCAAGUCGAACGGAAAGGCCCUGCUUUUGUGGGGUGCUCGAGUGGCGCACGGGUGAGUAACACGUGAGUAACCUGCCCUUGACUUUGGGAUAACUUCAGGAAACUGGGGCUAAUACCGGAUAGGAGCUCCUGCUGCAUGGUGGGGGUUGGAAAGUUUCGGCGGUUGGGGAUGGACUCGCGGCUUAUCAGCUUGUUGGUGGGGUAGUGGCUUACCAAGGCUUUGACGGGUAGCCGGCCUGAGAGGGUGACCGGCCACAUUGGGACUGAGAUACGGCCCAGACGCCUACGGGAGGCAGCAGUGGGGAAUAUUGCACAAUGGGCGGAAGCCUGAUGCAGCAACGCCGCGUGCGGGAUGACGGCCUUCGGGUUGUAAACCGCUUUCGCCUGUGACGAAGCGUGAGUAACGGUAAUGGGUAAAGAAGCACCGGCUAACUACGUG